This is a non-coding RNA of Pelobates cultripes (western spadefoot toad), 216 nucleotides long. Lineage: Eukaryota; Metazoa; Chordata; Amphibia; Anura; Pelobatidae. The record is from the annotation of a GenBank genome assembly.
GGCCCAUUCACUUAGGGCCACCUGGUGGGCAUGUGUCAGCAGGGGCGCUGUGGCGCUUUAACAGUGCAAACAGGUCCUUUACUUAUCGCAAUAUGGGAGGAAGUGAGUGCCGCAAGUCACUUCCUCCCAGAGACCAGAGCCGCGUGGGAGGGGGAGGAGGUUGUAAGGAGGAGUCCAGGCCUGGAGAAAUUGGAGCUGCAGAGAGGAGAAUGCAGG